This 560-nucleotide ribosomal RNA is filed under the name uncultured Oomycota. RNAcentral's name for it is "eukaryotic LSU rRNA". The stretch from base 1 to 79 matches the Rfam family "5.8S ribosomal RNA", at positions 77 to 154 of the family's 154-position model. Lineage: Eukaryota; Oomycota. The record is from RNAcentral.
GGAUUCAGUGAGUCAUCGAAAUUUUGAACGCAUAUUGCACCUCCGGGUUAUUCCUGGAGGUAUGCCUGUAUCAGUGUCCGUACAUCAAACUUGGUUUUCUUCUUUCCGUGUAGUCGGGGGAGGAUAUGCCAGAUGUGAAGUGUCUUACGGCUGAUUUUCGGAUCGGCUGUGAGUCCUUUGAAAUGUACAGAACUGACUCUCUUUGUUCGAAAAGCGUGGCAUUGCUGGUUGUAAAGGCUGUUCAUGUGACCAGUCGGCGAUCGGUUUGUCUGCUGUGGCGUUAAUGGAGGAGUGUUCGAUUCGCGGUAUGGUUGGCUUCGGCUGAACAGACGCUUAUUGGUCAUUCUUCUUGCUGUGGCGGUAUAACUGAUGAACCGUGGUCGUGUGUGACUUACCUUUUGAAUCGGCGUUGCUGUGCGAAGUAGAGUGACAGUUUCGGCUGUCGAGGGUCGACCCAUUUGGGAAAUUGUGCGGUGCGGCUUCGGUCGCGCGGCAUCUCAAUUGGACCUGAUAUCAGGCAAGAUUACCCGCUGAACUUAAGCAUAUCAAUAAGCGGAGGA